GGGAGUGAAAUAGAACCUGAAACCCUGCACUUACAAGCUGUGGAAGCACAUUUCUUGUGUGACCGCGUACUUUUUGUAGAACGGGCCAAGGAGUUACGUUAAGUAGCAAGGUUAAGCACUUAAGGUGCGGAGCCGUAGCGAAAGCGAGUUUUAACUGAGCGUUCAGUUACUUGACGUAGACCCGAAACCGGGCGACCUACCCAUGAGCAGGAUGAAGCGAAAGUAAAAGUUCGUGGAGGUCCGAACCCACGAGCGUUGAAAAGCUCGGGGAUGACUUGUGGGUAGCGGUGAAAUUCCAAUCGAGCCCGGAGAUAGCUGGUUCUCCCCGAAAUAGCUUUAGGGCUAGCCUCAAGGUGAGAGAUACGGAGGUAGAGCACUGAAUGUCCUAGGGGGUAUUGCACCUACCGAAGACUAUCAAACUCCGAAUGCCGUCAUCUUAUACUUGGGAGUCAGACUGUGGGUGAUAAGAUUCAUAGUCGAAAGGGCAACAGCCCAGAUCGUCAGCUAAGGUCCCUAAAUGUAAGUUAAGUGGUAAAGGAUGUGGGAUUGCACAGACAACCAGGAUGUUGGCUUAGAAGCAGCCACUCAUUCAAAGAGUGCGUAAUAGCUCACUGGUCGAGUGAUCCUGCGCCGAAGAUUUCCGGGGCUAAAACUUACUACCGAAGCUACGGCAUCAGUAAUGAUGGGUAGGGGAGCUUCCCAUACGGGUUGAAGCAUGACCGUAAGGACAUGUGGACAGUAUGGGAGUGAGAAUGUUGGCAUGAGUAGCGAGAUGUGGGUGAGAAUCCCACAGGCCGUAAACCCAAGGU
This 809-nucleotide ribosomal RNA is filed under the name Clostridioides difficile. Its description in RNAcentral is "bacterial LSU rRNA". It matches the Rfam family "Bacterial large subunit ribosomal RNA", at positions 534 to 1351 of the family's 2925-position model. Lineage: Bacteria; Bacillati; Bacillota; Clostridia; Peptostreptococcales; Peptostreptococcaceae. The record is from RNAcentral.